AGUGGAGGGUAACUGGUCACUGUGUUUAUAGCUGCAGUAGCUGAAAGUUUUUAAAGUGCGCAAAUUCUGCGGAAGAUGGAAAACCGAUGGAUAAUCCUCAGAGACUGAUACAAAAACUUCCUUGUCACCAUCAAAAACUCUGGUGGCCUCGAAAUCCGUUGAACCGACUCGUCUCGGGGUGUUCACACUGGAGCAGCGGAAGUUUGCAGUAACAGACGAGUAUCAAUAAAGUGACGCAACCAAGUAGUUUGGAUGAGUUGUCGGAAACUCUUAAGAAAUCGCCGAUGAAUCUGAUCCACAUGAAAUGUGAAAUUACUACAAGCCCGUUACUUUCUGCUACAACAAUGAAGACCCGUUUUUAUCAGCCCCUUGGUGAAUUUUAGUUUGAUAAAACAGGUACAUUGACACAAUCCGGACAUACAUUUUUCUUUCUUUUUAAUGAAACAAAAGCCUAUUUCGGAUCUCUAAGAUAAGAAAAAUGAGUUUAAGAAAGGAUUUACUCGAAAUCAACUUGGUUCGUCUGCUAGAGCCCAUAUAACUACCAACUGUCACUUUUCAUAUCAGGCUGACAAAAACGGGUCAAAAAGCUGUUAAAAUCGGGGAUAGACAAAUUCGGGUCUUCACUGUAUUCGAAAAGAUUGUCGUAAAACUUAUACCGCUUUUGACGCCGAAGAGCUUGGGGUACCUUAACAAAGACGCCGAAUUCAAUACGAGCGCACGAGAACAAACAAUGUGCAACAGUCGGUGACUAAUCCUCAAAGACCGAUUUAACUUCCACAUCACCAUCGAAAACCCCAGUGACCCAGAUAUUCGUGCAACCGACUCGCAUGAACAAAAACUACAAGGGACAGCCCUAUGGGGUUGCACGAACUGUAGACGUAGGAUAGGGCAUUGCAAAAAAAUUUUUUUUUGAAUUCUCAAAGACCCCUCUUAUAUUGUGACAAAUAUCAAAGUAAGCUCAAAUGCCAAAUUUCACAUCAUUUGGACAAUUUUAGACCCCCGCCCACUUCGCUUGAAGUUUUUUGAAAUUGGUAGUAUGAGAAAAUAUGGAGGAAAAAUACAUUAAAUGAUAUAACUUUUGAAGUAGCAAUCAGAAAAUUACAAUUUACAAUACCUCUUUUGAAAGGAAAUAAACUUAGUAUUUUAAGUUUCUAGGAAAAUACUGGGUCAUUUUGGCCCCAAAAUCCCAUAAUCUUAAUGAUUUUUCUGCUCCGUGAUGCAAAUCAUACAUAUUUUGUAGUUUUUCUAAUGUGAAAAAAUCUCAAAAAUCGAUCGGAGCCUUUUUGACCUUUGUCCAAAUACGAUAAGUUGGGGUUAAAUGGCCUUUUGUCAUUCAUAUUAAACUUCAUAAUUUUCUCGUGCAUAUAUCUCUAUUAUUCUUCACUCAAUUUUCAUAAACUAUACCUUGUUGAACGUAGAAAAUCCUUAAGAUUAUAACAAAAAUAGAUUCGUUACCGGUAAAAUUCAGGAACAUCAAAUUAUCUGACAUAUAGUGUCGAUUUCACAUUCUCAUAAAUAUUAACUCAAUUUAACAACAAAAUUCUUAUUUGAUUUACUACUUUUAGUGUAAAAUAUGCUUAGGGAUCACAUGAGAAAACUUUCAUUCCUGGAAAAAUAGGGGAAGUUGAGGUAUUAGGACAAAUAAUGAAAAAAUAAGAUUUGUAGAGUAAAUAUAAAAAAGUUUGAUGUUUCUGAAUUUUAGCUCUAACGUUUUUAUUUUUGUUUUAUUCCUCAGAAUUUUACACGUUCAACAAGUUACAUUUUAUGAAAAUUGAUUGAAGAAUAAUAGAGAUAUAUGUAUGAGAAAAUGAUAAAAUUUAAUAUGAAUGACGAAAAGCCAUUUAACCGCAACUUCUCGUUUUCGGACUAAGGUCAAAAGGGUUCCGUUUGAUUUCUGAGAUUUUUUCACAUUAGAAAAAUUACAAAACAUGUAUGAUUUGCGUCACGGAGCAGAAAAAUCAUUAAAAAUAUGGGAUUUUGGGGCCAAAAUGACCCAGUUCCCCAUUUUCCCAUAUUUUCCUAGAAAGAAGAAUAUCUCCAUUCAAAUACUAAGAUUAUUUCCUUUCAAACGAGGUACAAAUUGUAAUUUUCUGAUUGCUAGUUCAAAAGUUAUAGCAUUUAAUGUAUUUUACCUCUAUAUUUUCCCAUACUACCAAUUUCACAAAAUUUCAAGCGAAGUGGGCGGGGGUCUAAAAUUGUCCAAAUGAUGCGAAAUUUGGCAUCUGAGCUUACUUUGACAUUUGUCACAAUAUAAGAGGGGGGCCUUUGAGAAUUCAAAAAAAAAUUUUUUUUGCAAUGCCCUAACGUAGGACUAAAAUAUGUAAUGUGAAAUAUUUCCUUAUUUAAUACAUUUUGAUUAAUAAUGAAUAAAAUAUAUUUCAUUCAUACA
Topomyia yanbarensis is the source of this 2389-nucleotide long non-coding RNA. RefSeq lists it as uncharacterized. Lineage: Eukaryota; Metazoa; Arthropoda; Insecta; Diptera; Culicidae. The transcript is spliced from 4 exons. The record is from RefSeq and is a predicted model, not a curated record.